Mauremys reevesii (Reeves's turtle) is the source of this 3472-nucleotide long non-coding RNA. RefSeq lists it as uncharacterized. The record is from RefSeq and is a predicted model, not a curated record. NCBI's taxonomy places the organism in Eukaryota, Metazoa, Chordata, Testudines, Geoemydidae. The transcript is spliced from 3 exons.
UGCUCCAACCGCAGAGCUGGCUACGUCUCCACACUGGGCGACGGCUCCUCAUGUAAACAGCCCCCGUUUCCCACCCGAGGUGGCUGGAUCUCUGGGGGGGCCUAACAUGCCUGCUCGUCUCCUCCAGUGCCGGCCCCAUUGAAGGCUGAGUGUGACAUUGAGUCUCUGGAGACCCAGGAGGACAUCCUCAGCCUGAGCUGUGAGGCUGGGAGCAGAGCCAAUGCCAACCUGAGCUCGGCCAAGAGGAACAAGUCCCUGAGCCCCAGCCAGGGAGGGGCCAGACACCUGGAGCUGCAGAAUCUCAGCAGAGGGGACGCUGGGGAGUAUCGGUGCUGGGCAAUGAAUUCCUACGGGUCGCCAGUCAGGCCCUGCAUGGGCACGUGCAGUGUUCAGAGAAGCCUGACAAUCGGGUGAUCAUCGGCACGGCCUGUGGGCUGGGAGUCCUCAUUGUCUUAUUCCUUCUCGGGAUCUGUGUGAUGAAACUGCGGCACCGGGAGUGGGUGCCCCCCCAGCGCUGAGGCCGGGGAGACGGCUAACGGGAGCUAGGCAGGAGCACACAGCCAACGAGGCCAGCGUGAUCUACAGCACCGUCGCCAGCAUCCCCAUGCUAUGUACCUGGGGGAGCAGGGACCAAGCCCACCUGCCCUUCCCACCCCACCCCUUCUCUACCCCCUCCACUUCUUCUCCUUCCCACCCCCUUAAUGAAUGCAUGAAUAUAAGCCAAGGUUUUACCAGGGCACCUGACACUCCAUGCAUGCCCAGUGUAAGAAAUACACCCCUGCCACCAGCCUGGGCUCCCUGAACUGCGUGGGAUCGGCUCCUGCGGGGCAGAAAAUGCACCUCAUCCCUCGGGUCUCGCUCAGAGGGGAGGACAUGCAACGAAUGCAUUCAUGUGCAUUCGCAAAGUGCACGGGACAAGAUUGUGACUGCAAUGCUGUAAAUCCCUGGGCAUCUUCCGAAUGCACCAGCUGGGCAAGAAAUGCAUUUCUGCAGCUGCCUGCUAUGGUAUUAGGUGCAUAUGAUCAGACAAUGUAUGCAGGGUUCACCAUAUCUGGUGCAAAUAUAUGCACCCUGCAGAAAAUGCAAUGAACGUGUUGCCGGCACAGAAUGCCCGAGGCAGCAAACAGUGGUUCGUUGCCCGGUGUGCUUCGCUCCAAUAAACACACCAAGGUGGAGAAGCAGACAGAGUUUAUUUGAGAUCUCAAAAGCUGUGCAAGGAGACAGAGGUGUCUCAAAUCAAGCAGACAGCUGCAAGCCGUUUUUCCCUUCUUAUACAUGAUUUCAGCUAAGCAUUCUCAUUACCCACCCACUCCCCCCUUACUCCCCCUCCCUCCUAUUUCCCAUACAGCAGAUACAUUAUGCAGCUAGCAAUUACACUAAGCAGGUUAAAUCAUUCUUGGCAGCAAACAAUUCAUCUCGUUAGUGACUUUUUCUUGACCGGUUAUUUUGUUUUACUCCCUUUGAUUUGUUAUCCUGCCCCCCCCCCCUUAGCCAGGUGCAAGCAGGCCUCAUUAUUGCCUCCUGGUAUCAGUGCUGCACUGAUAACUAGCUGCUACACAUUCCAUUCUCGGUUACUGGCCUGUAAGGUCGAUUACAGUUUAACAUGGAGGCACUCUGGGCAAGCAUAGAAUAACUUUGGUUCAUUCAGGCCUAAUAAAGAUGCCUGAUGACUCCAACAAACGCAUCAGCAUAGUCUAUGGAACCACAAAAUUCGUGGGAUCAAAUCAUGCAGGACCAGUGCAUAAAAUGUACACAACAAUAUGCAUCUUGGUAAUGCAUGGGCAGUGCAGGCAAUGCAGAGAAUGCAUUAACUUAACCAAGGCUGCCCCAAGUGCUUGGUGCAUGAAAUGCAGAAAAUACAUUUCCUGAACCUGUUCUGCAAUGAGAUGCAUGAGAUGAAAUCCUGCAUUCGUAAUGCAUGAAAUGAACAUACCCACAUGCAUCUUGCUAAUGCGUGGCCUGUGCAGCUGAGGCAGUGAAUGCAUUAACCGAGCUGGUGCUGGCAUGGGAACAGCUCAUGCAUGCAGAGUGUGAAACACACCCGAUCCCACACCUCUUGCUAGUGCACACCCAAUGCAGGAAAUACAUUUGCAGAGUACAAGUAUUAUACGGAGGGUGGGGGAAACGUGGCCUGGGGAAGCCCAUGCAGUCAGCUCUCCAGGGUGAAUUCAAGUCUCUGCGUUGCUUCUCACUCAGCAUCACAAGACUCCAGCUACCCACCAGACCAAAGGCGUCCAGGAUGGGGCUGCCACAGCACAGGCCCUGCUACACCUCCAUCAAAUUCUCCAAGCUGCAGCGCAAACUGGGGGAGCCUCCGGAGGCCCCUGCCAUUGAAUAUUCCAAGGUCCGACUGAAGUAGCCCCCUCGUGCCAUGGGCCUAGGCUGGGCAUCGCCAGCCCGUCCAGUGCAGGGGGGAUCACAGUGUGGAGAGAAGGGGCAAGGGGUUGGCCCAGGGCUGGACCUACGGCAUGGGAAACCUGGGUGCAAAUCCCUGCUCUGGCCUGGACUCAGGGCGGAGUCAACUAAGCCUUGGAGAUGCUGGAGCGCUGCAUUGAGGGGAGGUAUCCCAGAGUCCUCUGCAGUCGGGUCUCAAAGCCUGCCCCCUCCCAAACCCCACUGCCCCCGGGGGAAAGAGCCUCUCACCCCUCACCCAUAGAGAGUCUCUCUUCUACCCUGCCUGAGCUCUCACCCACUCGUUUCACAGAUGGGCAGGAUGGUCACGCUCAGGGGCAGCAGCUGGCAGGAGUGGAGGGAUGGGCUUGUGUCUAAGCUGCUGGCCAGGUACUCUGGGUUCUAAUCUCUGUUUUGCUAAAAAAUGCUGUAGGGUGAGGUUGGUCCAGUUGCUGCAUCUGUCUAGUCUCAGUUUCCUUACCCCCCAAAAAUCAGGAUAAUAAUGGUGCCCUGGGCUAGUUACAUUAUAAACUCUUAGGGGCAGGGACUGUCUGUCGCUGUGUCUGAGCAGCGCCUGGUACAACGGGACCCUUGUCUCUGUCGAGGUCAAUCAAUGCCACGUGAUUAUAACCUCUUAAUAACGAUGUUCUAUUAAAGGUAACUUGUUCACUCCAAAGCCAAAAGCAUCUGACUGUAAAAUCCCCUGUUUACAAGCUGUUACUUGAAAUAGAUUUUCAUGUGUCGUUUUUGUCACGGCUACUUUUUUAACAAAGGGCCACUAACAACUAUGACUUAUUUGUAUCCAGUAAAGAAUCAGUUUUCACGUCUGCCUUUCCCCUGGGAGGCCCUGAUUGCAGCUGGCUUCUUCGCAGGGCCACUUAUAACACGGUCCCAAUUCCAGCUGGGGCAGGGACUGUCCAUUCCUGUGUCUUAGCAGCACCUGGCACAAUAGGGCCCUUGUCAUAAACAUACAGCUAACGGGAGGAUAAAAUCCCUUCUUUACUUCUAAGGGGUUAAGAAGCUCAAAUAACCUGGUUAGCACCUGACCAGAAGGACCAAUGGGGAAGGAAGAUACUUUCAA